This 843-nucleotide ribosomal RNA is filed under the name uncultured bacterium. RNAcentral's name for it is "bacterial SSU rRNA". It matches the Rfam family "Bacterial small subunit ribosomal RNA", at positions 13 to 835 of the family's 1533-position model. The record is from RNAcentral.
UGGCCCUGGGCUCACAAUCAACGCUGGCGGCGUGCCUAACACAUGCAAGUCGAACGCGAAAGGGGCUUCGGCCCUGAGUAGAGUGGCAAACGGGUGAGUAACACGUGGGUGACCUGCCUUCGAGUGGGGGAUAACGUUUCGAAAGGAACGCUAAUACCGCAUAACAUCCUGCUUUUGGAAAGGUGGAGAUCAAAGCCGGGGAUCGUAAGACCUGGCGCUUGAAGAGGGGCCCGCGCCUGAUUAGCUAGUUGGUGGGGUAACGGCCUACCAAGGCGACGAUCAGUAUCCGGCCUGAGAGGGCGGACGGACACACUGGGACUGAGACACGGCCCAGACUCCUACGGGAGGCAGCAGUGGGGAAUUGUUCGCAAUGGGCGCAAGCCUGACGACGCAACGCCGCGUGGAGGACGAAGAUCUUCGGGUCGUAAACUCCUGUCGAGCGGGAAGAACAUCUGCCGGGCUAAUAUCCUGGCAGGCUGACGGUACCGCUAAAGGAAGCCCCGGCUAACUCCGUGCCAGCAGCCGCGGUAAUACGGGGGGGGCAAGCGUUGUUCGGAAUUACUGGGCGUAAAGGGCUCGUAGGCGGCCAACUAAGUCGGAUGUGAAAUCCCCAGGCUCAACCUGGGAACUGCAUCCGAUACUGGAUGGCUUGAGUUCGGGAGAGGGAUGCAGAAUUCCAGGUGUAGCGGUGAAAUGCGUAGAUAUCUGGAGGAAUACCGGUGGCGAAGGCGGCAUCCUGGACCGACAUUGACGCUGAGGAGCGAAAGCUAGGGGAGCAAACGGGAUUAGAUACCCCGGUAGUCCUAGCCCUAAACGAUGAAUGCUUGGUGUAGCGGGUAUCGA